RNAcentral lists this ribosomal RNA (419 nucleotides) under uncultured bacterium. RNAcentral's name for it is "bacterial SSU rRNA". It matches the Rfam family "Bacterial small subunit ribosomal RNA", at positions 30 to 451 of the family's 1533-position model. The record is from RNAcentral.
AUUGAACGCUGGCGGCAUGCCUUACACAUGCAAGUCGAACGGCAGCACGGGGCAACCUGGUGGCGAGUGGCGAACGGGUGAGUAAUGCAUCGGAACGUGCCAUUGAGUGGGGGAUAACGUAGCGAAAGUUGCGCUAAUACCGCAUAUUCUGUGAGCAGGAAAGCAGGGGACCGCAAGGCCUUGCGCUCUUUGAGCGGCCGAUGUCAGAUUAGCUAGUUGGUGAGGUAACGGCUUACCAAGGCGACGAUCAGUAGGGGGCGUGAGAGCGUGGUCCCCACACGGGUACUGAGACACGGACCCGACUCCUACGGGAGGCAGGCAGUAAGGAAUAUGGUCAAUGCCCGCAAGGGUGAACCAGCCAUUCCGCGUGGAGGAUGAAGGCCCUAUGGGUUGUAAACUUCUUUUAGAUGGGAAGAAAA